AACGAACGCUGGCGGCAGGCCUAACACAUGCAAGUCGAACGCCGUAGCAAUACGGAGUGGCAGACGGGUGAGUAACACGUGGGAACGUACCCUUCGGUUCGGGAUAACUCAGGGAAACUUGAGCUAAUACCGGAUACGUCCGAGAGGAGAAAGAUUUAUUGCCGAGGGAUCGGCCCGCGUCUGAUUAGCUUGUUGGCGAGGUAACGGCUCACCAAGGCUUCGACGGGUAGCCGGCCUGAGAGGGCGACCGGCCACACUGGGACUGAGAUACGGCCCACGACUCCUACGGGAGGGCAGCAGUGGGGAAUAUUGCACAAUGGGCGGCAAGCCUGAUGCAGCGACGCCGCGUGGGUGAAGAAGGUUUUCGGUAU
RNAcentral lists this ribosomal RNA (371 nucleotides) under uncultured bacterium. Its description in RNAcentral is "bacterial SSU rRNA". It matches the Rfam family "Bacterial small subunit ribosomal RNA", at positions 29 to 424 of the family's 1533-position model. The record is from RNAcentral.